Molecule: ribosomal RNA, 467 nt
Filed under: uncultured bacterium
Lineage: Bacteria
Description: partial 16S ribosomal RNA
Rfam family: Bacterial small subunit ribosomal RNA
Source: RNAcentral
GAUGAACGCUGACAGAAUGCUUAACACAUGCAAGUCGACUUGAAUUUGGGUUUUUAACUUAGGUUUGGGUGGCGGACGGGUGAGUAACGCGUAAAGAACUUGCCUCACAGCUAGGGACAACAUUUGGAAACGAAUGCUAAUACCUAAUAUUAUGAUAAUAGGGCAUCCUAUAAUUAUGAAAGCUAUAAGCGCUGUGAGAGAGCUUUGCGUCCCAUUAGCUAGUUGGAGAGGUAACGGCUCACCAAGGCGAUGAUGGGUAGCCGGCCUGAGAGGGUGAUCGGCCACAAGGGGACUGAGACACGGCCCUUACUCCUACGGGAGGCAGCAGUGGGGAAUAUUGGACAAUGGACCGAGAGUCUGAUCCAGCAAUUCUGUGUGCACGAUGAAGUUUUUCGGAAUGUAAAGUGCUUUCAGUUGGGAAGAAACAAAUGACGGUACCAACAGAAGAAGUGACGGCUAAAUACGUG